CAUACAGACCCGCCAAUAUAGAGACUCCUCUGUUGACACAAAUAAAGUAUUCUUUAUAUUUGCAUGGCGUACCAAUCUAUUUCAACAUUACCCAACCAACAGUUUCACACACACCAAUCAACAAGUAUCGCAAUUAUAAAGCAGAAUGCUCAUACAGCUAACCAGUCCUUAGCGGAAAUGAUGCAUGCCAUGUACAUUCACUUAAACACUCAAGUGAGGAUGAAUCGAAUGCAAAAUACAGCAAUCAUUGGGAACCUUCUAUCAUUUGAAAGUAUUUUCCACCCGAAAAUUUUAUUUUUAAAUUCUAAGGAUAUGAUAAAAUUGAAAAUCGUUUCUCACAGAAAAACUAUUAUGAGGGGUAGAACACUAUU
Molecule: long non-coding RNA, 371 nt
Filed under: Ananas comosus (pineapple)
Lineage: Eukaryota; Viridiplantae; Streptophyta; Magnoliopsida; Poales; Bromeliaceae
Description: long non-coding RNA (ACOM_LNC023426)
Source: RNAcentral